AAUGGGCGCAAGCCUGAUCCAGCCAUGCCGCGUGAGUGAUGAAGGCCCUAGGGUCGUAAGGCUCUUUCGCCAGGGAUGAUAAUGACAGUACCUGGUAAAGAAACCCCGGCUAACUCCGUGCCAGCAGCCGCGGUAAUACGGAGGGGGUUAGCGUUGUUCGGAAUUACUGGGCGUAAAGCGCGCGUAGGCGGAUUAGUCAGUUAGAGGUGAAAUCCCGGGGCUCAACCCCGGAACUGCCUUUAAUACUGCUAGUCUUGAGUUCGAGAGAGGUGAGUGGAAUUCCGAGUGUAGAGGUGAAAUUCGUAGAUAUUCGGAGGAACACCAGUGGCGAAGGCGGCUCACUGGCUCGAUACUGACGCUGAGGUGCGAAAGUGUGGGGAGCAAACAGGAUU
This 392-nucleotide ribosomal RNA is filed under the name uncultured Gammaproteobacteria bacterium. RNAcentral's name for it is "bacterial SSU rRNA". It matches the Rfam family "Bacterial small subunit ribosomal RNA", at positions 370 to 779 of the family's 1533-position model. The record is from RNAcentral. Lineage: Bacteria; Pseudomonadati; Pseudomonadota; Gammaproteobacteria.